This 498-nucleotide long non-coding RNA is filed under the name Ananas comosus (pineapple). RNAcentral's name for it is "long non-coding RNA (ACOM_LNC001127)". The record is from RNAcentral. Lineage: Eukaryota; Viridiplantae; Streptophyta; Magnoliopsida; Poales; Bromeliaceae.
GAUGUUUGAAUGUUGUGAUUUCCGUUAUACAUGAUUAGAUGAUCUUAUGAUUGUUUGAAUGAGUUCGUUUUCCUUGUAUGCAUGAGAUUUUGGAUGUUUUAUUAUACAUGAGAUUUGAGUUUUCAGAUAUGUGGUUUUGGAUCCUUGGUUUCAGAUAGGAUUUAUACGCUUUGCGGAUUUCUACCCCUCGAGGUAGCUGGUUUUCAAAAUAGAGUUUCCGUGUGGGAAACAGUUUUAAAAAGGUUUUCGAAUGGUUUUAUGAACGAAUGAAUUAGAGUUUAAAAACAAAAGCUUCCGUGUGGGGAGCACUUUUAAAUAGGAUGAUUGUUGUACUGUGCAUUGCAUCAUCCAGCGCCUAAGGAGUGCUUAGAGGCAUGCAUUAUCUCUAAGGAUUGUUAUCUGUAUGAAAAUGCAUAUCAUUAAUUGGUUGUUGAUUGGUAAUUGUAGGUUGGGGUUGUGAUCCUGUUGUAUAGCUGGUACGCCGUACAAAUACAAAGG